UUGAAUAGUAUCCUUCCACUUAAAAAAAAAAAAAAAUAGUAUCCUUCCAAAAAUUCAUGUCCACCCAGAACCUAUGAAUGUGAUCUUACUUGGAAAUAGGAUUCUUGUCGAUGUAAUCAAGUUAAGAUGAAGUCAUAGUAGAUUAGGAUGGGCCCUAAUCCAGUGACUGAUGUUCUUAUAUGAAGAGGGAGAUACACAGAGGGAAGACAUCCAUAUGAAGAUGGGAGCAGAAAUCGGAAUUGUGCUGCCACAAACCGAGGAAUGUCAAGAAUUACUGGCAACCGCCAGAGCUGGAAGAGGCAAAGAAAGAUUCUCCCCUGGAGCCUUCACAGGGAGCAUGGCCUUGCUGAAACCUUGAUUUUGGACUUCUAGCCUCUAGAACUGUGAGAGAAUAAAUGUCUUUUGUUUGAAGCCACCCAGUUUGUAAUCUUUGUUACAGCAGCCUUAGGAAACCAACACAUGCUCUUUUAUUAUCUCCAUUUUCAGGUAAGGAAGCAGGCCCAGAGAGGUCAGACCCUUUGAGAUGUCUCUAGGCCACUGCUCUGCGGGCUGGGUACUUACUCUGAAGUUCCUGAUGCUGCUGUUGUCGGCUCCGCACCUUCCAUGCCGUCACACCUCUGCUACUGCUGGUGCUCAGUUGCUGGAAUGGCUCCUUCUCUAACACAGCAGGCUGCAGCGUUUCCCCCUUCUUACCCACUUCACACCCUGAAUCAGAAACUCCUCUCAGAGGCUCUGGCUGUAGACUGAUUAUUUCAGCAGGAUACUUCGUGGCCCCACUUCUCCAGCCUUAGGAUGUCACCCAUAGCUCACAUAGCACAUAUCACAGUUCAUGGCUGUGAGCAGAGCAGGAGGAGCAUCAUGACUGCAUUGGUUCUGAGGGCCCUUGUCACCUGGCCUCUUCUCUACCAAAGGGAGACCAGAUGGCACUGUGUGCUGGCCCAGGGCCAGGGGAGCCUAGCCUCUGGGCUGGCAGAGGAGAUAGCUUGAGUGUGUCAGGUGAUGGAAUAAGAAGAGCCAAGGCUGGACUGUCAAGUGGUGUAAUUUUCAGGGGCACCCAGAAUGUGCCUGCCCCUCAAAGACUUGUGUCGGCUCUUUGCUAGUGGUUGGAAUUCUACAAGUGAAAUUUAUUUCCCUUGAUUUAAGCCUUUGAGACCUUAUUAAAAAUGAAGAGACUCCAGGAAGGGCUUUUUUUUUUUUUUUUUUUUUUUUAAUCAAGUUAAAUUUAAUUUUGGGCAGCCCCGGUGGCUCAGCAGUUUAACGCUGCCUUUGGCCUGGGGGUGUGAUCCUGGGGACCCGGGAUCGGGUCCCACGUUGGGCUCCCUGCGUGAAGCCUGCUUCUCCCUCUGCCUGCGUCUCUCUCUCUCUCGCUGUCUCUCUCUGUCAUGUAUAAAUAAAAUCUUAAAAAAAAAAGUUAAAUUUAAUUUU
This 1425-nucleotide long non-coding RNA is filed under the name Canis lupus dingo (dingo). RNAcentral describes it as "lncRNA (ENSCAFG00020001797.1)". The record is from RNAcentral. Lineage: Eukaryota; Metazoa; Chordata; Mammalia; Carnivora; Canidae.